UCGACUCACAUGCAGCCAGCAGCCAGCAGCAGCAGCAGCAACUGCUGCUGCAACAACUAGUGACGUGGAUUUGUUUCACAUUUGUCAUUUUUUAUUUUUCCCCAUCUCGUCGCCGCACCGCACCCACGACGCAACAAACGAACGCGGCUAGUGAAGAACGAACUUGUCACCUUUCCUUCUUCUACACGCCCAUUGUACCUGCCUGUUUACAUAUCAGCCUCUUAUGCGUGCAUGAACCGCAUUGUUGGUACUACUGAAACCAUUCCCAAAACAGAAGCAGCGUGAUAAGGCGGGCAGUGUGACUCAAGCUGACCCACUAUGUCUCGAUGGACUCGAGGGAAAAGCCAGAGCCAGAACGCCAAGUAUUCAACCUCUACGAACCCCAGCCUAAAGCCGGGCCUUUGUGUACCACAACAAACCUAUGCAUCUGUACGAUAUCAACUUUAUUUACCCUUACAAUAUCUUGCAGACAGCUGAAAUCAGACUCCAGCCUCUAGUAGUGAGCUGUGUGUACAUGUAGAGUGACGAUCAACCGUUCUGACAUCUAACCUCAGCCCUCAAUACAUCUCAAGGGUUUUCUCAGCCUGCCUGAUGAGUCUUGCAAUGCUCUAGGCGACCUCGGUCUCACCGCUUUGGAAGAUACUGAGUCUUACAGAUCAGAUCCAAACUCUCUGCUGAUGGCAGUGAUAGACAUGCAGCAAGCAAGAGUGGGUAAAAAUGCAUUUGCUGGAAUCUAUGGUCGGAUCGAGGUCGAUGAGUGUAUGGUAAGCGCACUGAUGUACAAGCUCGCAGCUCCUACAGUAUCCGGAAUAAUCAACAUACAUCCGAUGACUGAUUAUUAUGUGUGCAAUAAUAAUGAAGGGUGGGAUCAGUUUGGAGGGGAUGGUGAAGAUGCGGGCUGUAGACACAUGCACAGUGGGUGCAUAAUGACAGAAGAAUGUAGGGGAGUCAAUGCUACUGUCAUCAUGCCACAUGAACCAGGUUCAGACACUCUG
RNAcentral lists this small RNA (995 nucleotides) under Cryptococcus neoformans H99. RNAcentral's name for it is "Cryptococcus neoformans var. grubii H99 hypothetical RNA". The record is from RNAcentral. Lineage: Eukaryota; Fungi; Basidiomycota; Tremellomycetes; Tremellales; Cryptococcaceae.